RNAcentral lists this transfer RNA (69 nucleotides) under Calameuta idolon. RNAcentral describes it as "tRNA-Gln". Lineage: Eukaryota; Metazoa; Arthropoda; Insecta; Hymenoptera; Cephidae. The record is from RNAcentral.
UAUAUUUUAGUGUAUGAUGCACAAAAAUUUUUGAUAUUUUUAGUAAUAGUUUAAUUCUAUUAAAUAUAA